CCUACGGGAGGCAGCAGUGGGGAAUAUUGCACAAUGGGGGAAACCCUGAUGCAGCGACGCCGCGUGAGUGAAGAAGUAACUCGUUACGUAAAGCUCUAUCAGCAGGGAAGAAAAUGACGCUACCUGAGUAAGAAGCCCCCGGUAACUACGUGCCAGCAGCCGCGGGAAUACGUAGGGGGCAAGCGUUAGCCGGAUUUACUGGGGUGAAAGGGAGCGUAGACGGUGCGGUAAGUCUGGCGGGAAAUGCCGCAGCUUAACUGCGGAACUGCUUUGGAAACUGGCGAACUAGAGUGCGGGAGGGGUAUGCGGAAUGCCUAGUGUAGCGGUGAAAUGCGUAGAUAUUAGGAGGAACACCGGUGGCGAAGGCGGCUUACUGGACCGUAACUGACGUUGAGGCUCGAAAGCGUGGGGAGCGAACAGGAUUAGAUACCCGUGUAGUC
RNAcentral lists this ribosomal RNA (440 nucleotides) under uncultured bacterium. RNAcentral's name for it is "partial 16S ribosomal RNA". It matches the Rfam family "Bacterial small subunit ribosomal RNA", at positions 338 to 795 of the family's 1533-position model. The record is from RNAcentral.